UCCUUCCUUCCAAAUAAAGCUGCUCCAAAUCUCUUCCUUUCCUUUCUUCCAGACAAAGCUGUGGGGGACAUUUAAUAUAUAACGAAGAGUAAUAUUUAACGUAUCUUACUACUAAGCAAUUUAAUUUUGUUAUUUUGACCCGGUCGCGACCUAAUAGUCUAUUGGUGUUUAGGGUUUUGUUUUCCGUCUUCCAGUUUAACCUCCGAACAUGGUUUCCGCUCAUGUUUCUUCUCAACCACCAGAAAUCUCUUUUAAACCACCAGAAAUUCUAGAAAUCUGUUCUAAACCACCACCAGAAAAGAAACAGAAAACCGAUAAGCCUGUUGAUGGUGAGAAAAAAGGAUAUGAUCCUGAACUUGGUGAUGAAUCCGAUGAUGCAUGAAUCUAAUGAUGAUUCCGAUGACGAUAGCGGCGGGAAUUGCUAUUGCGGAGGGGAAUGCUAUUGCAAUCCAGAUGAUCCUCUUAUGCAAAAAAUGAUGUCCGGGGACAUGGACUCUGAUGAUGAGCGGGAGUUCGUAAAGAAACACUACUAUAAAGAUACCAGAAGUCUGAUGAUGAGCGGGAGAUUUUGCUAACAUUACUAUAAAGAUACCAGAAGUCCCUGCACAGAGAGAGACCGUUCAAGAGACUGAUUCAGACGAUCAAGAGAAGAUGGAUGAAUUGUUUUGGCAAUACCGAAAACAAGCUGAGGACAGCAAUGGCUUUGAUGUGGAUAACUAUCCGCUUUUACAUUCUUAUUUGGGUUUAAUUAGCCCAAUUUCCUGGCCCAACGAGAGCGAAGGCCUACCAAAGCUUGUCAAAAAGCUCUCAAAAAAGGCAAUUCGGCAGUACAAUAGAGAUUAUAAGGUAAAUUAUGACUUUGUGAAGGUUCAGAAGGCAAAUCAUUAGGUUGCUACUGGUUUUAUCUAUUAUAUUACUUUUGAGGCCAAGGAUGCUAAUGAUGGUGGGUCUAAAAUCUUUCAAGCUGAGGUGUUCGAUGGAAUUAAGAAGACUGAGGUUGUAUCCUGUAGGCCUAAACCUCCUACAUAAUUCAUCAAGGUAAAAUUUAUUCAUUAAUUAGAUUGC
Molecule: long non-coding RNA, 1065 nt
Organism: Cornus florida
Lineage: Eukaryota; Viridiplantae; Streptophyta; Magnoliopsida; Cornales; Cornaceae
Exons: 3
Source: RefSeq, a predicted model, not a curated record